GCAUAACGCGAAGAACCUUACCUAGGCUUGACAUGCAUCUCUAAGCACGUGAAAGCGUGUGACCCUUCGGGGAAUUUGCACAGGUGCUGCAUGGCCGUCGUCAGCUCGUGUCGUGAGAUGUUGGGUUAAGUCCCGCAACGAGCGCAACCCUUGUGAACAGUUGCCAGCGGGUGAUGCCGGGAACUCUGUUCAGACUGCCCAGAUCAACUGGGAGGAAGGUGGGGACGACGUCAGGUCAGUAUGGCCCUUACGCCUUGGGCUGCACACGUACUACAAUGCCCAGCACAAUGAGAACCGAUGCCGCGAGGUGGAGGAAAUCUGAAAAACUGGGCCCAGUUCGGAUUGGAGGCUGCAACUCGCCUCCAUGAAGUUGGAAUCGCUAGUAAUGGCGCAUCAUCUACGGCGCCGUGAAUACGUUCCCGGGUCUUGUACACACCG
Molecule: ribosomal RNA, 438 nt
Filed under: uncultured bacterium
Lineage: Bacteria
Description: bacterial SSU rRNA
Rfam family: Bacterial small subunit ribosomal RNA
Source: RNAcentral